Molecule: non-coding RNA, 98 nt
Organism: Nicotiana sylvestris (wood tobacco)
Lineage: Eukaryota; Viridiplantae; Streptophyta; Magnoliopsida; Solanales; Solanaceae
Source: Rfam
UGGACAGAUUAUUGUAUUCGACUGUAUUCACGGUGUGAAAUAGGGGAUUGCACUGUUUUUAAAAAAGGAAAGUGAAUCAAUUAACAUAAUAGACUCCU